This 2106-nucleotide ribosomal RNA is filed under the name human gut metagenome. RNAcentral describes it as "bacterial LSU rRNA". It matches the Rfam family "Bacterial large subunit ribosomal RNA", at positions 446 to 2573 of the family's 2925-position model. The record is from RNAcentral.
GCCGGGACCACCCGGUAAGGCUAAAUACUCCCAAGAGACCGAUAGUGAACCAGUACCGUGAGGGAAAGGUGAAAAGAACCCCGAACAGGGGAGUGAAAUAGAACCUGAAACCAUACGCUUACAACCUGUCGGAGCGGCUUCGUGCCGUGACGGCGUGCCUAUUGAAUAAUGAGCCUACGAGUUACUAAUCACUGGCAAGGUUAAGUGCACGGAUGCACGGAGCCGAAGCGAAAGCGAGUCUGAAUAGGGCGUUUAGUCAGUGGUUGUAGACGCGAAACCUUGCGAUCUACCCUUGAGCAGGUUGAAGGUUGGGUAAAACCAACUGGAGGACCGAACGAAUAAGCGUUGAAAAGCUUCUCGAUGACUUGAGGGUAGGGGUGAAAGGCUAAUCAAGCUGGGAAAUAGCUCGUACUCCCCGAAAUGCCUUUAGGGGCAGCGUUGUAAUUAAGAGUCUACUGGAGGUAGAGCUACUGAUUGGAUGCGGGGGCUUCACCGCCUACCAAAUCCUGACAAACUCCGAAUGCCAGUAGUAUGAUUUACAGCAGUGAGCGACCGGGUGCUAAUGUCCGGUUACGAGAGUGGAACAACACAGACCAGCAACUAAGGUCCCCAAGAGUAUACUAAGUUGAUCUAACGAUGUUUUGCUGCAGAGACAGCUAGGAUGUUAGCUUGGAAGCAGCUAUUCAUUCAAAGAGUGCGUAACAGCUCACUAGUCGAGCGGCAAAGCGUGGAUAAUAAACGGGCAUCAAGUAUACCACCGAAGUUCUGGGCACGAAAGUGCGGUAGGGGAGCAUUCCAUUCCGCGUUGAAGCCGAACCGUGAGGUUUGGUGGAGUGUAUGGAAAAGCAAAUGUAGGCAUGAGUAACGAUAAUGCGGGAGAGUAACCCGCACACCGCAAGACCAAGGUUUCCUGAUCAACGCUAAUCGGAUCAGGGUUAGUCGGGUCCUAAGGGUAAGCCGAACGGUGAUCUCGAUGGAUAAUCGGUUAAUAUUCCGAUACUGACAUAUACCUCGAUGGAGAGACGAAGGAACGUAAGUGCCGCCACCUGACGGAAUAGGUGGUUAAAGGGCUUAGGUAUAGGGGCAGAUUAAGAGUUAGUCCUUGCUGAAACCUGACAGUACAGAGAGCCUACGGGCAAUUUGAUAGUGCACCCAAGUCGACUUCCGAGAAAAUCUUCUAAGUUAUAGUAUAUGUCACCCGUACCGUAAACCGACACAGGUGGUCGAGGAGAGUAUCCUAAGGUGCUCGAGUGAAUCACGGUUAAGGAACUAGGCAAAUUAACCCCGUAACUUCGGGAAAAGGGGUCCCAUCGCGAGGUGGGCGCAGCGAAGAGGUCCAGGCGACUGUUUAUCAAAAACACAGGGCUCUGCAAAUUCGAAAGAAGACGUAUAGGGCCUGACACCUGCCCGGUGCUGGAAGGUUAAGAGGGGAUGUCAUCGCAAGAGAAGCAUUGAAUCGAAGCCCCAGUAAACGGCGGCCGUAACUAUAACGGUCCUAAGGUAGCGAAAUUCCUUGUCGGGUAAGUUCCGACCUGCACGAAUGGUGUAACGAUCUGGACACUGUCUCAACCGUGAGCUCGGUGAAAUUGUAGUCCCGGUGAUGAUGCCGGGUACCCGCAACGGGACGAAAAGACCCCGUGAACCUUUACUAUAGCUUAACGCUGAAUUUGGGUACACAAUGUGUAGGAUAGGCAGGAGACUACGAAGCGGGCACGCCAGUGUUCGUGGAGUCGACGUUGAAAUACUGCCCUUUGUGUACUUGAGUUCUAACCCUCGAGAGGGGACACCGUUUGGUGGGUAGUUUGACUGGGGUGGUCGCCUCCAAAAGAGUAACGGAGGCUUCCCAAGGUACCCUCAGCACGAAUGGUAACCGUGCGUAGAGUGCAAUAGCAUAAGGGUGCUUGACUGUGAGACCAACAAGUCGAUCAGGUGCGAAAGCAGGGUAUAGUGAUCCGGUGGUUCUGCGUGGACUGGCCAUCGCUCAAAGGAUAAAAGGUACUCCGGGGAUAACAGGCUGAUCGCCGCCAAGAGCUCAUAUCGACGCGGCGGUUUGGCACCUCGAUGUCGGCUCGUCACAUCCUGGGGCUGGAGAAGGUCCCAAGGGUU